GCCUCGGUGGUGCUGUGGUAGCACGCGUCUCCGGUAUGGAUAAAACGCUGGUUCGACUCCCGUUUGGGGUC
This is a non-coding RNA of Parelaphostrongylus tenuis, 71 nucleotides long. The record is from the annotation of a GenBank genome assembly. Lineage: Eukaryota; Metazoa; Nematoda; Chromadorea; Rhabditida; Metastrongylidae.